RNAcentral lists this ribosomal RNA (443 nucleotides) under uncultured bacterium. RNAcentral describes it as "partial 16S ribosomal RNA". It matches the Rfam family "Bacterial small subunit ribosomal RNA", at positions 338 to 795 of the family's 1533-position model. The record is from RNAcentral.
CCUACGGGCGGCAUCAGUGGGGAAUAUUGGGCAAUGGGCGCAAGCCUGACCCAGCAACGCCGCGUGAAGGAAGAAGGCUUUCGGGUUGUAAACUUCUUUUCUCAGGGACGAAGAAAGUGACGGUACCUGAGGAAUAAGCCACGGCUAACUACGUGCCAGCCGCCGCGUGAAUACGUAGGUGGCAAGCGUUAUCCGGAUUUACUGGGUGUAAAGGGCGUGUAGGCGGGAAAGCAAGUCAGAUGUGAAAACCAUGGGCUCAACCUGUGGCCUGCAUUUGAAACUGUUUUUCUUGAGUACUGGAGAGGCAGACGGAAUUCCUAGUGUAGCGGUGAAAUGCGUAGAUAUUAGGAGGAACACCAGUGGUGAAGGCGGUCUGCUGGACAGCAACUGACGCUGAGGCGCGAAAGCGUGGGGAGCAAACAGGAUUAGAUACCCUUGUAGUC